UUCCGCCUCUCGGGCUUCUCCUCCCCAACUCAGCUUACCUUCGCUUUCUGGGCGUCCCUCCCUUCCCCGCUGCCCCCCCCCACAGUGCUCCCCGUUCUUCACUUUACCCCGGUUCCUGCGCCUCAGCUUCUCUAGAUCACCCCCAACCUCGCCCCUCACACCGCCCCCCGCCCUGCCAGGUCCCCAGCGCGUGGGCCCCUGGGAAUUGUAGUUUGCCCGGCUGCGGGGUGAUAUGUUGGAGAGAUCAAGGACAAAGGGGCAGUUAGGACUACAUCUCCCAAUGGUCAUAGCGCGCGAGCGGAGGUGAAGGGAGGGGUUCUAAUUCCGCGGCCACGGGGGACCCCUGGCGGGGACUGAGGCUGCUUCAGUCUUAGCGAGUGCUGAUUCACGGCCCCGCCCCAUAUUCUCCGGGAAAUUACGAGGUGAGGGGGCCAGGACCUCAGCCCUGGACCCCGUCUCAGAGAUAAAGUAGCAGCAGGCCAAGGAGGGACAGAGGAGAGGAUACGCGUCCACCGUGGGUCCAAACUUGCCAGGGUGGUGCCCGCCGGCAGGAUGGGUUGAAUUACGGAGCUUAAUAUUGGGAGCUAAACUGUCACCCUCCCCCACAGGCUUCCAUUUCCCCACACGCACUUUGAGGUUCUUGGACCCGAUGAGGUGAAAACAUGGAAGGACAAAUACUGGCCGGGCAUACUGGUUCAUUUACAGAAAGGAUGCAGCUGUCUUCAGGCUGACCCCCGGGGGAGCUCCUUCCUCUCCAGCGUGGAGUGUCAAAGAUUAAGUUCUGUUGCCAAGAGCCUACUGUAUGCUUCACAUGAGGUUGUUAUCUGAGGGUUGACCAACCCUUCUCUCCCCACCUAAGACGCACACACUGAGGUCGGGCUGACAAAUUCUUGCUCAUAUGCUUCCAUUUUCAACGUUCCGUGGAGCUUACACAUCCAGAGUUUUGACUGCACAUUUUAUUGGCUUCAUUUUUUUUUCCCCGGCAGUUAUCUGUAGAGCACCUACUGUGUUCCAAGCACUGUUCUAAGCAAUGGGGUACAGCAAGGAACGACACAAAAAAACCCUACCCCCCCCAAAACAGAGGGGUCUGAAGCAGCGUUCUGAGGCUUCGAACUCCAACGGAGGACUCGUGGGAGACUGAUAGUGAUGAGGCGGUGGCAGCCUGCCAACUGAUCACACGGAGUGAGGUGGACCUUUCUAUCUUUGGAGGAUUGCAAGCUUCAGAGAGCCCACCAAUGCCUGCUCAUCUCAAGGAAGCAAUUUCUCCAUCAGCUGGAGCUGUGUGAGUGCCUGAUAGGCGAUGCGAACGGAAAGAUGGCCAAAAAGAGAUUGCCAGGACACGCAGUACCGAUUCCCUGCGCACAGAGGCUUCUACGAGGCCGAAGGACACUUCGUGACAAAGAGGAGGGGUUUGGUCUCCAACCUCAUGGCAGCAGCGCCCCUUCCCCCAACCCAGGCUGGGUGCCCAGCUACGUCCAAGUCUUACCUGGGGGUCUAUAAUCGAUGCUCCUCCCCCCAAGUCCUCACCUUAGUCUCUAAUCUCAGAGAGCUGGGAAAGGCCAAUAGGUGAGAAAAAACAACAGGAGAGCGGAUGUGAUUGUUCCCAUGCCCCUAUAGACACUAGAGAACCCAUAGCACAGAUGAGGAACCCAAGGCACACAGAAGAUAAGUAACCUGUCCAGGUCAUACAGCUAGUAAGUGGAGGCUUUGGGUCAUAAAGGAGGUUCAUGUGUCUCUUACUCCUUAUCCACCAUCCAGAAGCACCCAGCUGGGCCUAUUUCUUUUUCUUUUUUGAUGUUUUUAUUUAGUUUUGAGAGAGAGAGAGAAAGAGAGAGACAGGGUGUGAGCAGGGGAGGAGCAGAGAGAGGGAGACGCAGAGUAUGAAGCAGGCUCCAGGCUCUGAGCUGUCAGCACAGAGCCUGACGUGGGGCUGAAACUCACAAACCUCGAGAUCAUGGGAGCUGAAGUCAGGGGCUCAUCGCCAUCCAGGCGAUGUCAGAGCCAUCCAGGCGCCCCUCUUGGUUUUUGUUUUUGUUUUGUUUUGUUUUGUUUUAACUUUUUUCGAUGUUUGUUUUUUCAA
Long non-coding RNA from Felis catus (domestic cat), 2080 nucleotides. RefSeq lists it as uncharacterized. The transcript is spliced from 3 exons. The record is from RefSeq and is a predicted model, not a curated record. NCBI's taxonomy places the organism in Eukaryota, Metazoa, Chordata, Mammalia, Carnivora, Felidae.